RNAcentral lists this ribosomal RNA (484 nucleotides) under uncultured bacterium. RNAcentral describes it as "partial 16S ribosomal RNA". It matches the Rfam family "Bacterial small subunit ribosomal RNA", at positions 30 to 507 of the family's 1533-position model. The record is from RNAcentral.
AUUGAACGCUGGCGGCAGGCCUAACACAUGCAAGUCGAGCGGAUGAAGGGAGCUUGCUCCUGGAUUCAGCGGCGGACGGGUGAGUAAUGCCUAGGAAUCUGCCUGGUAGUGGGGGAUAACGUCCGGAAACGGGCGCUAAUACCGCAUACGUCCUGAGGGAGAAAGUGGGGGAUCUUCGGACCUCACGCUAUCAGAUGAGCCUAGGUCGGAUUAGCUAGUUGGUGGGGUAAAGGCCUACCAAGGCGACGAUCCGUAACUGGUCUGAGAGGAUGAUCAGUCACACUGGAACUGGGACACGGUCCAGACUCCUACGGGAGGCAGCAGUGGGGAAUAUUGGACAAUGGGCGAAAGCCUGAUCCAGCCAUGCCGCGUGUGUGAAGAAGGUCUUCGGAUUGUAAAGCACUUUAAGUUGGGAGGAAGGGCAGUAAGUUAAUACCUUGCUGUUUUGACGGUACCAACAGAAUAAGCACCGGCUAACUUCGUG